UUUAUCAUAUGAAGAAUUUUUUUUAUUAUAUAAUUUUUUAAAAAGCUAUAAUGUUAACAAAAUUAUAAUUCUUAUUGGAUGUAGUUUAUAAAAACUUCAAAUUAUAGCAACAAAAUCUUUAAUUAUAACCUUUUAUCAAUUUCACCAAUUAAUGAUAUUAUCCAGAAAAGUCAAACAAAAAAUCGAUAGGAAAAAAGCACUAAGCGAAGUUUUAAAUUUUGGUAAUUAGAAAUAAAUUAAAUAAAAAUCAUUGAAAAUAUCGAAAUUUGAAUUAAUUAAAAAAUGAUUGUGCAAUCGUCGUAACCCCAUUAAAGCGCGAAUAAACACGAAGAUAUUCGGAUAACUUCGUAUUGCGUCGGAACUUUUCGUUCGAUUUCGCGCGAACGAAGUACGAGCGCGGGAAUCGUGUGCCACGAAUCUUUCGACGUGAGGUUGUGACCGAUCUUUGAUUUACAUAUUUUGUUUGUGUAAGUUUGUACGUGUAUAUAUUGCAUCGUGAUUCGUAUGAUGAUCCGAGUGAGUUCCCGGCAGUGAUGAUGAUACAGAAAUAGCGGUGCAUCUCGUUUUUACGGAUGUUGGGGAUUAAGAAAAGUUUGAGGAUCACUGGAAUCUUGGACGCAGGCUGAGAACUUCUGGGAAAUAAUAGCAGGGAUUGCAUUGACGCAUUCACGAUCUGAUCACCGCAAUCUCAAAGUUGUUCCACUCACCAGAUGAAACACAUCCGCAGCGAGGGAAAGCGAAAAAUGUGUGGAUCCAGUCGGAUAACCACUUGCACCGUGGUCCUCCUUAAAGUGGACGGGCCAGAGGAUGUCUAGCGACUGCUAAAUCGCGGAACAUUUCAAUUUCCAACGCGACUUGGACAUCACGUGACACAAGUUGGAAACUACGCCUCUGGCAUGGGGACAGAAGGGAUUCAGAAGCGACGAGGAUGGGGCGCCAGUUCGCCCGUUGCUCCGGAACAGGCAGCAAUAUUUUCAUAGAAUAUUUUCUUUUUUUUUUUUUUCGUGGAAGAAUAUUUUUUGGUUCUUAUCUGAGAUUUAUCAAAGGAUCGGUGAAGUUUGAUGAGAUAAGAAGAAAAGUUAUUUUUUAAGAUGGAGGAGAAUAUACUUUGGAAAUUGGAAAUUGGAAUUCAAGGUGAAGUUUGAGGUUUGGAGAUUUGUUUGAAAUUAUUUGGUGGAGAUUAAGGUGAAGUUGGGGAAUAUUUGGAUACUUUUGAAGAUUUGAAUAUGGUAUGGGAUGAAGUUUAGAUAAUUUGAAGAUUUGAAUUCGGUGUGGAAUGGAUUUUGGAUCCAUUUUGGAAUUUGAGAUUUUAAAUUGUAUUUUUGAUUUGGUGUUGAAAGCUUGAAUUUUAAGAAAUUUGGAUUUCUGUAUUUGAAAAUUGAGAUUUUUGUAAUACUAAAAUUUAGAAAAUAGAUUUAAGCUUUGAUAAUUUGCUCCUAUACUUUGAACUUUAAAUUUCAAAGUCUUUCUUCAUUUUAAUGAUUCAAAUCUUCUUUAUUAAAAAUGAGAUUAAUUAAUUUCAAUUAAAACAAUCAAUAGUCACAAAGAAACAUGAUUUAUCCUUCAAGGAUUUUCAAGGAUGUUUAUAAAAGAAGAUGUGCACAGAUUUGGCGAUGAGAAUCAUAUAAAUAUCUAUUAACCGUCAACUUUGGUAGAGAACGUAUCGAUUGACCCACAAAGGGGAUCACAAUCAUGCGAACGCCGAACAGAAAUUAUAAAGAUUGCCAUUUAUUAAAGGUAACAAGCCCGUUGAAAGACACUUUAUAUCCCAAUAUUACUUGCUAUUUUUUAUAAUUUAUUUAAUUAAAUUAAAUUAAUAACU
This 1822-nucleotide long non-coding RNA is filed under the name Apis dorsata (giant honeybee). Its description in RNAcentral is "uncharacterized LOC102676764, transcript variant X1". Lineage: Eukaryota; Metazoa; Arthropoda; Insecta; Hymenoptera; Apidae. The record is from RNAcentral.